CACGGGGGGAGCAAGCGUUGUUCGGAAUCACUGGGCGUAAAGGGCGUCUAGGCGGUCAGAUAAGUGGGAUGUGAAAUGCCCCGGCUCACCCGGGGACCGGCAUCCCAAACUGUCUGGCUUGAGUAUGGGAGAGGAUGUGGGAAUUCCUGGUGUAGCGGUGAAAUGCGUAGAGAUGGGGGAGAACACUCGUGGCGAAGGCGGCCAGCUAGACCAGUUCUGACACUGAGGCGCGACAGCGUGGGGAGCAAACAGG
This 253-nucleotide ribosomal RNA is filed under the name uncultured bacterium. RNAcentral's name for it is "partial 16S ribosomal RNA". It matches the Rfam family "Bacterial small subunit ribosomal RNA", at positions 524 to 776 of the family's 1533-position model. The record is from RNAcentral.